CAUACAAAAGGCAAAAUGCCAAAAUACUUGUGUAUACUGACGAAGCACACAUGCUCAGAGAGCGAGAUUGACAGCAAAAACGAGAGAAUGAGAAUUAAGUAGAAGUGUCUACUGCGCAUGACAGGUUAUAAACCAUUCAUUUCCUAAAAGUAUUUACAGAGAUAAGAUAUGAAGUAUUUGUGGGAGAGUUGUUUAGUUACCCCUGCAGCUCGACAGCGUGAACAUUUGUUAAUCUAAUUAAAGUUAAAAUGAGUAUAUUAGCCCGCUUUUCAAUGAACUCUGCUGAAAAGCAGAUUUAUAGAUGGCGCCACGAACCAGCACAUAGUUUUCUAUUCCAAUACCCUUGCAGAGACAAGUUUCAUAUAAACAGACGGAUAUCACUGCGUCGACUUGGCUUGUAAUCCUGGUCAAGAAUACGUAUAUGUAUGUAUCUUACUUAUGAGGUCGAAGGUGCUAUCCUCUGCUACCCUCUUUAAGGAUAAAUUAUCAGCGAGCAAAACCGGAGGUGGUUAAAUAAUUCUUGUUUAUACAAUAUUAUGUAAAAAUAAAGGAUAUAAGAAUUUA
This is a long non-coding RNA of Drosophila pseudoobscura, 564 nucleotides long. RefSeq lists it as uncharacterized. The record is from RefSeq and is a predicted model, not a curated record. The transcript is spliced from 3 exons. NCBI's taxonomy places the organism in Eukaryota, Metazoa, Arthropoda, Insecta, Diptera, Drosophilidae.